UGACGGUAUCAUAUGAAUAAGCACCGGCUAACUCCGUGCCAGCAGCCGCGGUAAUACGGGGGGUGCAAGCGUUACUCGGAAUCACUGGGCGUAAAGAGCAUGUAGGCGGGUGAAUAAGUUGGAAGUGAAAUCCUACAGCUUAACUAUAGAACUGCUUCCAAAACUGUUCACCUAGAGUAUGGGAGAGGUAGAUGGAAUUUCUGGUGUAGGGGUAAAAUCCGUAGAGAUCAGAAGGAAUACCGAUUGCGAAGGCGAUCUACUGGAACAUUACUGACGCUCAGAUGCGAAAGCGUGGGGAGCAAACAGGAUUAGAUACCCUGGUAGUCCACGCCCUAAACGAUGUACACUAGUUGUUGCUAUACUAGAUAUGGCAGUAAUGCAGUUAACACUUUAAGUGUACCGCCUGGGGAGUACGGUCGCAAGAUUAAAACUCAAAGGAAUAGACGGGGACCCGCACAAGCGGUGGAGCAUGUGGUUUAAUUCGACGAUACGCGAAAAACCUUACCUGGCCUUGACAUAGUAGGAAUCUUUAAGAGAUUAGAGAGUGCUAGCUUGCUAGAACCUACAUACAGGUGCUGCACGGCUGUCGUCAGC
This 594-nucleotide ribosomal RNA is filed under the name uncultured bacterium. RNAcentral's name for it is "bacterial SSU rRNA". It matches the Rfam family "Bacterial small subunit ribosomal RNA", at positions 470 to 1059 of the family's 1533-position model. The record is from RNAcentral.